CCCGUGCCGCGCCCCUUCUUCCUCACACGCGAUCACCGUGCCCUAACCGGCCGCACGGGCGGUUUCUCCUCCCCGAGUGCACAAAAACCCUCGACCUCCUUUCCCACUUAGCCGCCGGCGACGCACCGAGCCACCCCGAGUAUCUUCUUCUCUACCCGACGCUGCCGCCGGCCGAGUUCCAUCUUCCCGCACGAAGCAGUGCAGCGACAGCCGCUUCUCCACCGCCGCACACCCUUUUCUUCCUCCUCUCCUCUGCCGACGCCGGCGACCCAUUCUCUGCCCUAGUCGAGCACACCGCCGACUGCCCCUAUGCCUGGUUUCACUGCCCGGUGUUUACUCCGAUCGCCGGUGCCCUAGCCUCUGCCUCCCGAUCCCUCUUCCCUGCAGCGACGCCAACUACUCACCCGUGCUCUAGCACAGAAGCCGAACUCUAGCGCCUAAUGCCAUCUUACCGGCCGAGGUUUAGCUGUGCCCUAGCUCUGAGCAUUUCUUUCUCCUCAGAGCAUUGGUGAUACGAUAUUGUGAUAGAAAGAUCCUUGAUACAACAGAUCGGCGAUAUUAGAGCAGCAAACAACCCUUCAUUGGCAACAAGAAUGGUUGUGAAUUGAGGACUUUGACGCGAGACGCGUAUCUCGACGUCGUGUUUGAGUCAGAUUGGAC
Zingiber officinale is the source of this 660-nucleotide long non-coding RNA. RefSeq lists it as uncharacterized. The record is from RefSeq and is a predicted model, not a curated record. The transcript has 4 exons. NCBI's taxonomy places the organism in Eukaryota, Viridiplantae, Streptophyta, Magnoliopsida, Zingiberales, Zingiberaceae.